UGUUCCUGUAGCACAAUGGAUAGUGCGUUGGACUCCUAAUUCAAAGUUCGUGGUUUCUCAUCCCACCUGGGCAG
This is a non-coding RNA of Trichonephila inaurata madagascariensis, 74 nucleotides long. The record is from the annotation of a GenBank genome assembly. NCBI's taxonomy places the organism in Eukaryota, Metazoa, Arthropoda, Arachnida, Araneae, Nephilidae.